UUGAAUUCUUCCCCCUCCCAAUGCUCCCUACAACGUGUCCUAAUGUCAUACAGAUCCUCAGCUGCAUGAACAAAGCUUAACAUACUCAAACACCUGGCAGUGGGAAUGUGAUAUCAUCUGUGAAGGGAGCACGUAGGAUCAGAUCUACCCCUAAUGGAUGUAUUUGCUGUGCAGAAAAUGGUGUCCUGAGAAUGUGCCAUAGCAUAUCAGGCUGGUAUCAGCUCAGCUGGAGAGUGGAAUGGUUCCAAAUUACCACAGUAUUGAGAUGGAAGGGCUGACAGCACAAGACAGAGAUCAGGAAGUUUAAGCUCCACCACAAAGGACAGCGUAAGGUCCAAGUUCUGUAAGAGCUUCUGUCAGAG
RNAcentral lists this long non-coding RNA (362 nucleotides) under Manacus vitellinus (golden-collared manakin). RNAcentral describes it as "lncRNA (ENSMVIG00005015015.1)". Lineage: Eukaryota; Metazoa; Chordata; Aves; Passeriformes; Pipridae. The record is from RNAcentral.